Molecule: microRNA precursor, 248 nt
Filed under: Medicago truncatula (barrel medic)
Lineage: Eukaryota; Viridiplantae; Streptophyta; Magnoliopsida; Fabales; Fabaceae
Description: MIR2655 microRNA precursor family
Rfam family: MIR2655 microRNA precursor family
Source: Rfam by way of RNAcentral
CCCUUAACUGUUAAAAGUUUCGUUUUGGUCCUUUAACUUACUUUUUGGUUUCGUUUUGGUCCCUUAACUCUUCCUCCGUCAACCACUUUGGUCCUUUAUGUUAGGAUGAAUGUAUUAGAGUUAAGGAAUCAAAAUGAAACCAAAAAAUAAGUUAAGGGACCAAAAUGAAACUUUUAAUAGUUAAGGGACCAAAAGAAAACCCAAAAAUAAGUUAUGGGACCGAAAAGAAACUUUUAAUAGUUAAGGAA